UCUCAUUGUCUUUGCUCUAUUCUAAUUCCGAUGUUCUUUUCUCUGUGUUCCCUUUCUGUAGAGUGGACUCAUUUAAGAAGUGCUGAAAUGGGAAAGACAAGAGAAAAUGAAACUGUUUUAAAGCAGUUUGAAAGAUUUGAAAUAGUCUUUAUGCUACGGGGACCACGUAAAUUGCAGAAAAGCUUUUCAAUUCAAAAUUUUUUUUUUUUUUGGAAAUUGGAAAGUUUUAUAAGAUGCAGCCAAUCAAAUCUCCACAUUUAGAAUUAAAGAGGAAAUCGCCAUCACGCAGCAUUUCUUUUUUUCUAGAAGACUUCUUUAAUGAAGCAGGAAAAAUCUCACUCAGAAGGAAGAGAAGACUUUUGGCUUUCCAAGAACGCUCCUCUCCCUCUGGCGAAACGUUCCUGCCUGCUGCCUCUCCUCUGAAGGUGAAGAGGAAGGUAAUGACAUGGUAUGAAACCUUCAAGUAGACAUUGUAUCUCAUUAUCAAGGCCCAAGAUAAGACAAGGACCUUAACAGAAGAGAACAAGCAUCAAUGCCUAAUGGUAACCCAACUCUUUAACUAAUUAAUUAAUCAAUUAAAUUUACAUCCAGGUUCUGCCCCCUCAUCCCUCCUCUCCUUUUAGUCCCACCCUUACAAAUUCCUACCCCCAUUACUCUCUCCCCUUAUACUCAGAGACGGGAAAGCCCCCCCUUGGGUAUUACACACCCACUAAAUGCAUCCUUUCCCACUUAGGCUCAACCAAGUAGUCUGGUUAAGGGAAGAGGAUUCAACGUCAGCCAACCAGUUCAGGUAAAUUAGCCUUGCAUACAUUAAACACUAUCUUAUAUUUGUUUAAAUUUUUUCACCUAGUCAUCAUUGAACUGUAAGUCCAACUCUAGUUCCUUGGUAGAAGCAAUG
Molecule: long non-coding RNA, 898 nt
Filed under: Rattus norvegicus (Norway rat)
Lineage: Eukaryota; Metazoa; Chordata; Mammalia; Rodentia; Muridae
Description: long non-coding RNA NONRATT031958
Source: RNAcentral